Molecule: long non-coding RNA, 1649 nt
Filed under: Anas platyrhynchos platyrhynchos (common mallard)
Lineage: Eukaryota; Metazoa; Chordata; Aves; Anseriformes; Anatidae
Description: lncRNA (ENSAPLG00000017654.1)
Source: RNAcentral
UCUAUGGGGCAGGAUCUAUGGGGCAGGGGGGGAUCUAUGGGGCAGAAUCUAUGGGGCAGGUCAGAUCUAUGGGGCAGGAUCUAUGGGGCAGGAUCUAUGGGGCAGGGGGGGAUCUAUGGGGCAGGAUCUAUGGGGCAGGAUCUAUGGGGCAGGGGACACGGCACCGGGCACACGCGGCCGAGCACGGGCAAUAAAUCACCGGCAGCACAACCGCAGCGUCUGGGGUCCCGUUUUGGGGCAAUUUCACCCGAUUUUGGGGGCGGCCUCAGCUGUUUGGGGCCAAUUCCCUCCCUUUUGGGGCAACUUCUCCCAGUUUUGGGGCCAUUUCUCCCCCUUUUGGGUCACUUUCCCCCCUCCCCAACAUCACCACAUUUUCAGGGUUGAUUUCUCCCAUUUUUGGUCAAUUUCAACCGUUUGGGGCCAUUUCACCUGGUUUUGGGUCUGUUCCCUUCACUUUGGGGCCGAUUUCAGCCAUUUGGGGGCACUUUUCCCUCACUUUUGGGGACAAUUCCCCCCCUUUUGGGGUUCUGGGAGCCAAUUCCCCUUUAUUUCAGCCAAUUCCUCCCCCUUUUGGGUCCAAUUUCCUCUUUUUUGGGGUCUAUUUCACUACUUUCACUUCCCCCUCCCUUUUUGGGUCCCUUUCACUUGAUUUCUGCCAAUUUCUUUUUCUUUUGGGUGAAUUUCACAUUUUUUGGGUCAAAUUUCCCCCAUUUCUGCCAAUUUCUAUCAAUUUUGCUCAUUUUCUUCCAAUUCUCCCCCCCUUUUUGGGUCAAUUUUCCCCAUUUUCAGCCCAUUUCCCCCAUUUUCAGCCAAUUUCCCCCAUUUUCAGCCAAUUUCCUCCAAAUUUUGCCUGUUUCCCCCCUUUUUGGCUCUCCCCUCACCUUUUUGGGGCCGUUUCACCCCAUUUCUUUCAAUUUCUCCCCGCUUUGGGGUCUAUUUUUGUCCCUUUCUUUCGCUUUCACACAAUUUCUUUCAAUUUCACUCCUUUUUUUUUCUCACCUAUUUUGGGGCCAUUUCCUCCCCUUUCUCGCCAUUUCCCCCACCCCCUCAUUUUUUUGCUCAUUUCCCGUAUUUUUGGGGGCUAUUUCUCCCCCUCCCCCCCUUUUGGACCAAUUUCCCCCUUUUUGGGUCAAUUUCCUCCGAUUUCUGCCAAUUCCUCCCCAUCCUCCUCCUUUUUAGGCCAAUUUCGGCCAUUUUCGGUCAAUUUCACUCCCCUUUAGGUCAAUUUCACCCCAUUUUGGGUCCAUCUCCAUUUUGGGUCUAUUUCACUCAAUUUCCGCCAAUUCCACUCAAUUCCUUUCAGUUUCUCCCCUUUUGGGUCAAUUUCUGUCAAUUUCUGCCAAUUUCCUCCAAUUUCUGACCAUUUCUCUCCUUUUUGCCAAUUUCUGUCCAUUUCCUUAAUUUUCACUCAUUUUCUGUCCACUUCUCUCAAUUUUUUGUCCAUUUCAAUCAUUUUCCUUAAAUUUCACUGUUUCUGUCCAUUUUUAUCAAUUUCCUUAACUUUUCACUCAAUUCCUGUCAAUUUCUGACAAUCUCCUUCAUUUUCACUCAAUUUCUGCCAAUUUCUGUCCAUUUCCCUCAUUUCUUUCAUUUUUCACUUCAUUUCUGCCCAUUUUUGUCCAUUUCCCUCAUUUCUUUCAUUUUUCACU